Eragrostis curvula (weeping love grass) is the source of this 72-nucleotide non-coding RNA. The record is from the annotation of a GenBank genome assembly. Lineage: Eukaryota; Viridiplantae; Streptophyta; Magnoliopsida; Poales; Poaceae.
GCGUCUUGGUCAAGUGGUUAAGGCAUUCGAGUAGCAUUUUUGAGAUCCUGAGUUCGACUCUCGGUGGGAGCA